This 1183-nucleotide ribosomal RNA is filed under the name Photobacterium damselae. Its description in RNAcentral is "bacterial SSU rRNA". It matches the Rfam family "Bacterial small subunit ribosomal RNA", at positions 351 to 1528 of the family's 1533-position model. The record is from RNAcentral. Lineage: Bacteria; Pseudomonadati; Pseudomonadota; Gammaproteobacteria; Vibrionales; Vibrionaceae.
GCAGUGGGGAAUAUUGCACAAUGGGGAAACCCUGAUGCAGCCAUGCCGCGUGUGUGAAGAAGGCCUUCGGGUUGUAAAGCACUUUCAGUAGGGAGGAAGGUAGUGUAGUUAACACCUGCAUUAUUUGACGUUACCUACAGAAGAAGCACCGGCUAACUCCGUGCCAGCAGCCGCCGGUAAUUACGGAGGGUGCGAGCGUUAAUCGGAAUUAUGGGCGUAAAGCGCAUGCAGGCGGUCUGUUAAGUCAGAUGUGAAAGCCCGGGGGCUUAACCUCGGAAUUGCAUUUGAAACUGCAGGCUAGAGUCUUGUAGAGGGGGUAGAAUUUCAGGUGUAGCGGUGAAAUGCGUAGAGAUCUGAAGGAAUACAGUGGCGAAGGCGGCCCCCUGGACAAAGACUGACGCUCAGAUUGCGAAAGCGUGGGGAGCAAACAGGAUUAGAUACCCUGGUAGUCCACGCCGUAAACGAUGUCUACUUGGAGGUUGUGGCCUUGAGCCGUGGCUUUCGGAGCUAACGCGUUAAGUAGACCGCCUGGGGAGUACGGUCGCAAGAUUAAAACUCAAAUGAAUUGACGGGGGCCCGCACAAGCGGUGGAGCAUGUGGUUUAAUUCGAUGCAACGCGAAGAACCUUACCUACUCUUGACAUCCAGAGAAGCUUGAAGAGAUUCGAGUGUGCCUUCGGGAACUCUGAGACAGGUGCUGCAUGGCUGUCGUCAGCUCGUGUUGUGAAAUGUUGGGUUAAGUCCCGCAACGAGCGCAACCCUUAUCCUUGUUUGCCAGCACUUCGGGUGGGAACUCCAGGGAGACUGCCGGUGAUAAACCGGAGGAAGGUGGGGACGACGUCAAGUCAUCAUGGCCCUUACGAGUAGGGCUACACACGUGCUACAAUGGCAUAUACAGAGGGCAGCAAGACCGCGAGGUGGAGCGAAUCCCAGAAAGUAUGUCGUAGUCCGGAUCGGAGUCUGCAACUCGACUCCGUGAAGUCGGAAUCGCUAGUAAUCGUGGAUCAGAAUGCCACGGUGAAUACGUUCCCGGGCCUUGUACACACCGCCCGUCACACCAUGGGAGUGGGCUGCACCAGAAGUAGAUAGCUUAACCUUCGGGAGGGCGUUUACCACGGUGUGGUUCAUGACUGGGGUGAAGUCGUAACAAGGUAGCCCUAGGGGAACCUGGGGCUGGAUCACCU